Molecule: ribosomal RNA, 253 nt
Filed under: uncultured bacterium
Lineage: Bacteria
Description: partial 16S ribosomal RNA
Rfam family: Bacterial small subunit ribosomal RNA
Source: RNAcentral
UACGUAGGGUGCGAGCGUUGUCCGGAAUCAUUGGGCGUAAAGAGCGCGUAGGCGGCCCUGUAAGUCCGUUCUGAAAGUCGGAGGCUCAACCUCCGAAAGCGGAUGGAUACUGCAGGGCUAGAGUCCGGAAGAGGCGAGUGGAAUUCCUGGUGUAGCGGUGGAAUGCGCAGAUAUCAGGAGGAACACCAACGGCGAAGGCAGCUCGCUGGGACGGUACUGACGCUGAGGCGCGAAAGCGUGGGGAGCGAACAGG